RNAcentral lists this ribosomal RNA (460 nucleotides) under uncultured bacterium. RNAcentral describes it as "partial 16S ribosomal RNA". It matches the Rfam family "Bacterial small subunit ribosomal RNA", at positions 338 to 795 of the family's 1533-position model. The record is from RNAcentral.
CCUACGGGUGGCAGCAGUGAGGAAUAUUGGUCAAUGGCCGGAAGGCUGAACCAGCCAUGCCGCGUGAAGGUCAGUGCCCUAUGGGCGUUAAACUUCUUUUGUGCGGGAGCAAUAAUGGUCACGUGUGGCCAGACGAGAGUACCGUACGAAUAAGCAUCGGCUCACUCCGUGCCAGCCGCCGCGGUAAUACGGGGGAUGCCAGCGUUAUCCGGAGUUAUGGGGUUUUAAGGGGGCGUAGGGUGUGAGGUAAGUCAGCGGGGAAAUGCCCCCGCGCAACGGGGUGGAGUGCCAUUGAUACUGCCUUGCUGGAAUGCGGAUGCGGUGGGAGGAAUGUGUGGUGUAGCGGUGAAAUGCAGAGAUAUCACACAGAACACCGAUUGCGAAGGCAGCUCACGAAUCCGCGAUUGACGCUGAUGCACGAAAGCGUGGGUAUCAAACAGGAUUAGAUACCCUAGUAGUC